GACAGAGGUGGCAAGCGUUGUUCGGAUUUAUUGGGUGUAAAGGGCAGGUAGGUGGCUGAGCAAGUCCGAUGUGAAAUCCCAGAGCUCAACUCUGGAACUGCAUUGGAUACUGCUUGGCUUGAGUAUCGGAGAGGUAAGAGGAAUUCUCGGUGUAAGGGUGAAAUCUGUAGAUAUCGAGAGGAACACCAGUGGCGAAGGCGUCUUACUGGCCGAUUACUGACACUGAGCUGCGAAAGCAAGGGGAG
This 245-nucleotide ribosomal RNA is filed under the name uncultured bacterium. RNAcentral's name for it is "partial 16S ribosomal RNA". It matches the Rfam family "Bacterial small subunit ribosomal RNA", at positions 524 to 768 of the family's 1533-position model. The record is from RNAcentral.